GCGCGCAAAUUACCCAAUCCUGACACGGGGAGGUAGUGACAAUAAAUAACAAUACCGGGCGCGUUAGUGUCUGGUAAUUGGAAUGAGUACAAUCUAAAUCCCUUAACGAGGAUCCACUGGAGGGCAAGUCUGGUGCCAG
RNAcentral lists this ribosomal RNA (139 nucleotides) under uncultured bacterium. RNAcentral's name for it is "partial 16S rRNA". It matches the Rfam family "Eukaryotic small subunit ribosomal RNA", at positions 432 to 570 of the family's 1831-position model. The record is from RNAcentral.